This is a long non-coding RNA of Varanus komodoensis (Komodo dragon), 1789 nucleotides long. RefSeq lists it as uncharacterized. The transcript has 2 exons. The record is from RefSeq and is a predicted model, not a curated record. NCBI's taxonomy places the organism in Eukaryota, Metazoa, Chordata, Lepidosauria, Squamata, Varanidae.
UAACAUUAGAUGCAAUCUUAUGGCUACCUAAUUGUGCUACGUAAAGCCCCAGCCGUAACCUCAGGCAAGAGGUGGAAGAAAGAACCGCAUGAGUCAUGCUCUCAGACCGAAACAGAUUCAAUUAUUUCCAACAAAAGCACCUCUCCGGAGAGGAAACUUUCACAGUUACUGAAGGGUGGGAUGGUGGGUGUUUUAAUAGACUCCGGAACUUUGUUGGAUCAAUUUCCUUAGCCGGAGUGACACACUGCGUCCUCUGGAGCCUCUGAAAGCACAGCAGAGAAUCAGGGGGCUUUGCUGCAAGAAGUGAGCUGCGGAGCGUGCAACGAGCAACAGAGGAUUCCCCGGAUUGGGCGAAAGGGACCUUCUGAAAGCAGAGCCCGUCCUUCCUACGGAGGAAGGCAGAGCCUGGAUGCAAUCGGAGCUCGUUACGCUCCUUUCCGUGGGCUACCCUCCCUCGCGCACACUUUCACAUGACCUUUGCGGGGUCACCGAGUUUGGGAGAAGGGCAGCGAAGCGCCCCUGGCCAUUCGCGUUCCCUUUCUGAGCCUGAGCUUCGUCAUGCGAGUAUGUGGGGCAGCGCCGACACCGAGCCUUCGUUUGCACAAGGAAGUUGUAGCCGAGCAGUUUAGAAUCCCCUCCCUAUACACUCGCAUGUAACCUGAAACCUGCACAAUGCAGAAGGCAUCUGAUGAAGCGGACGGAAGUAACUCGGGGCAUCGUGUUGAGACCCCUGAAAAUACUACACAGAGAACCAGGAGGCCCUGCUGAGAGAUCUAGGAAAGCUUGUGCCUGAAUAAAUGCUGUAACCUCGCUUUUGGAAAGUGUUGUUUCGAGUAUUGUGUUGACAUGCUGCCUUGCAUGAGUUCCAACAGAAGAAAUCAGUUAAUCUUACACAUAUCUACUCAGAAGGAAGCAUUGUUGAGUGCAAUAGGAUUUGCUCCCAGGGAGGAGGGGAUCGGAUUGCGGCCUAAGUGUGCCAUUCAGUGGUUAACAGCAGAAUUUGCAAAACAAAAGCUCCAACUUCUCAAGCAAGGGGGAGCAUGCAGACUUUUCCUGUGGCCACCACAUGGUCUUUAGUCACGAUGACAUGCAAAACGGUACAGAAAGGGGAGUUUGCAAUUCCUCCAGCAACUAUUUUAACAUGGAAGAGAUUUACAGCAACUGCCGCCCCAGAGUGUGCAAGCCGUCGCAAUAUUACAUGGAAGUAAAUUCCACUGAACACAGUGAGACUGACUCCCACGUAGCCACGCAUCUGAUUAUGCUGUAAAAGCAAAGUUAUAAGGAAGGAGUGGGACUUCGUAGGCGAGACCCAAUAACAACUUGGGAGUCCUAAGUUUGGCUGAACUUCACCAAAUAAACACGCGUGCAAUCAGCCACUGUCGGAAACGGCGCCAUGCGUGCUGCUUUGCCAUGCGUGGCACUUUCCAAACUCUUUGUUUGGGGCGUGUGUUGAUUAUGGCACGGUAUUUGCAUGUUACUCAUGACUUUUCUUAAUCCAGGAAAUGAGGAGGACUCACACUGGGGCAAGAGGACAACUAUCCUACUUCCUUGACACAUGUUCUUCUGUCCCCAGUGGAUAUUGUUUUCCCACAAGAAAGAAACUCGAGCUGCUCGAGGAGGAAACAUUAAGUAAGCUUCACAAACGACCGAGCUUUGGAGCCAACUCUGUCCGAGGCGAAGGGGAAAAGUAGUAGCAGCCCUUCGGCAUGAGUUGGAUCCAUCCCAGAGAGGUUGCUAAAGCGACUCGCCUAUCUCACCAUCGCGGAGCAAAAUAAACUUUACUAACGCA